This 688-nucleotide ribosomal RNA is filed under the name uncultured archaeon. RNAcentral describes it as "bacterial SSU rRNA". It matches the Rfam family "Archaeal small subunit ribosomal RNA", at positions 66 to 738 of the family's 1478-position model. The record is from RNAcentral.
CUAUGGCGAGAAGUGGCAAACUGCUCAGUAACACGUAGCUAACCUACCCUCAGGACGGAGACAACCCCGGGAAACUGGGGUUAAUCCCCGAUAGGCGUGGAUUCCUGGAAUGGUGUCACGCCGAAACGUUAACACACCAUGUUUGUGUACACGCCUGAGGAUGGGGCUGCGGCCGAUCAGGCAGUUGGUGAGGUAACGGCUCACCAAACCUUUGACCGGUACGGGCCGUGAGAGCGGUAGCCCGGAGAUGGACACUGAGACAAGGGUCCAGGACCUACGGGUCGCAGCCGGUACGAAACCACCACAAUGCACGAAAGUGCGAUGGGGUUACCUCGAGUGCCGCCUGGAGAAGGCGGCUUUUCCAUUGUGUAAUGAGCCGUGGGAAUAAGGGGGGGGCAAGACUGGUGUCAGCCGCCGCGGUAACACCAGCCCCCCGAGUGGUGGGGAUGUUUAUUUGGCCUAAAACGUCCGUAGCCAGCUAGGUAAAUCUCUCGUUAAAUCCAGCGUCCUAAGCGUUGGGCUGCGAGAGAGACUGCCAAGCUAGAGGGUGGGAGAGGUCAGCGGUAUUUCUGGGGUAGGGGCGAAAUCCAUUGAUCCCAGGAGGACCACCAGUGGCGAAGGCUGCUGUCCAGAAACACGCCUGACGGUGAGGGACGAAAGCUGGGGUAGCGAAUCGGAUUAGAUACCC